UCAUAAAUAUUCUUGUUCUGAUUUUGUUCUAUUAGUAGUAUGCAUUUAGUCCCAGAUGAAGUUCUUUCUCUAGGUUUGAUUUUAUAAAUGCUGAGGAUAAAC
Small nucleolar RNA from Erinaceus europaeus (western European hedgehog), 102 nucleotides. Its record names the gene SNORA72. It matches the Rfam family "Small nucleolar RNA SNORA72". From Rfam's summary of the family: U72 is a member of the H/ACA class of snoRNAs. The snoRNA gene is located in intron 4 of the ribosomal L30 protein gene in human, mouse and chicken. The record is from Ensembl. NCBI's taxonomy places the organism in Eukaryota, Metazoa, Chordata, Mammalia, Eulipotyphla, Erinaceidae.